ACUUGUACAGCCGCUAUGCCCUUCAAAACACUCGAGUAGGACUGAUCUGACAGCCGAAGAGGUGGUCGUGAUGCAUCCAGGAGGAGGAGGCGAGCAAGGCUGCACGGAUCAGGGACACCAGCGGGCGACCAACGACGGCGGCGCUCCGCCCCAUUCGCUGCCGCCACCGCCGUUCCCUACCGAGAUGCAUAAGCUUGAGCCCGCGGCGAGCCUUCCGGUCACGGCGCGGGGCCACUCGCCGCCGACCGGCAACGGAGGCUGCGACGAGGACGCGCCGCCAUUCCCCUCCACCGAGCUAGCCUUCGAGAAGAACCAAGGAGCCUCCCCGUCAACGUCCUCGCCGGAAUCCUGUCGUGGGUGCCCUACAGGUCACUCUGCCUCAAUUCUCUUUAUUAUAAAUGGUUUCACAUAGUGGAGUAACCUCUCUGCGUUUCUGCAUAGACAGAGAGGGUAAAGAAAUAUGGGUGGUGUUCAAAUGUUGGUAUAUCAGUCUAUGCAUAACAGGGUUAGGUAACUUGUCAUAUCUUCCUCUUCUUUUAUAAAUGGGAAACGAAUACUUUACUACAAAUGGUACAUAACAAAAAAAAAGAACCAUUCAAAUGAUAUGCUUGUAGGUAAGCUGGGAUAAUACCACACAAGGUAGCCGUUCAUUACUACUACUAAUCUUGCAGCUUCACUGUUCGUUUUGUUUAUUAAGCUGCCUUGACCAGUACCUUUGUUUAAGCUGCCCAUGGCCAAUUUCUGCUCCCUCCAAUCCAUAAGAACUGUCUGGGUUUAAGCUCAAAUUUGAACUAAACCCUGACAAUUAUUAUGGAUCGGAUGGAGUACUUGCUUUUUGAGAUUUUAGGUUGUAGUCCAACUAAAUCUAUUUGCUUGAAGCAUCUUAUAAUUUCGUUGACCAAAUUGUCACUUAAAGAAUCUUCUUGUUGAUUAUCUUAGCAUAGUAGCAUUCCAAGGCUGCAUUGAAUUCCUGAUUUGCAGAUUGAGCUCUUUUAUUUUUACUUAGUGAUUGUUUUCUAGAGGGUAAAGAAAUAUGAGUGGUGGUCAAUUGUUGGUAUCAGUCUAUGCAUAACAGGGUUAGAGAACUUAGGGAUCAUUUCUUUCUCUUCUUUUGUAAAUGGGAAAUGACUUUUACUAUACUAUAAAAGGUAGAGAACAAAAAAAACAGUCAAAUGUUAUGCUUGUAAGUAAUACCACACAAGGUUGCCGCUCAUUUCUAGUUGUAAUAAUCGUGCAGCUCCAUUGUUCCUUUUGUUUAUUAAGCUGCCAUGGCCAGUACCUUUGUUUAAGCUGUCCAUUGCCAAUAUUUGCUACUCCCUCCGAUCCAACUGUUGGGGUUUUAGCUUAAAUUUGAACUAAGCUCCUACACUUGUUAUUGAUCGGAGGGAGUACUUGAUGUCUCACUAGUUCUUUUUAAAAUCUAAGUUGUAGUUCAACUAAAUCUAUUUUCUUCAAGCAUCUUACAGUUUCGUUGACAAAAUUGUCACUUACAGAAUCUUCUUGUUCAUUAUCUUAGCAUAGUAGCAUUCCAAGGCUGCAUUCAGGUUCCUAAUUUGCAGAUUGAUUUUUUUUUUUCCUUUUUUUCCUUAGUGAUUGCUUUCUAGAGGGUAAAGAAAUAUGAGUGGUGUUCAAUUGUUAGUAUCAGUCUAUGCAUAACAUGUUUAGACAACUUGUCAUUUCUUUCCUUUCUUUUAUGAAUGGGAAAUAUAUUUUACUUUACUAUAAACGGUGGAGAACAAAAAAAAAAGCCAAAUGAUAUGCUUGUAGGUAAGCUGGGGUAAUACCAGACAAGGUAGCUCGUUCAUUACUACUACCAAUCAUGCAGCUCGACUAUUCCUUUUGUUCAUUAAGCUGCCAUAUAGUACUACUGAUCAUGCUUUUGUUCAAUAAGCUGCCAUGGCCAGUACCUUUGUUCAAUAAGUUUUUUUGAGAUUCUAAGUUGUAGUCCAACUAAAUCUAUUUGCUUGAAGGAUCUUAUAAUUUUUUUUGACCAGACUGUCACUUACAAAAUCUUCUUUGUCCAUUAUUUUAGCAUAUUAGCAUUUCAAGGCUGCAUUGAGAUCCUAAUUUGCAGAUUGAGUUUUUUUUGUUCCUUAUGGAUUUUACUUUAUUAAAGAGUAGAGAACAAGUUAGGCAAGUUUUGUUGACUGCUUUAAAUCGGAUGGCCGAAUGCGCCUAGACAUACUACAUUUGGUAUGCUCACUGUGGUCAGAGAAUUGGGAUGAUACAAUUAUCCUCACGGCUGCUUCUGUUCUAAGUACUUUUUUUAACUUAUGGAUUUUUGUCUAUUAUUCUAGGAAGAUUUUGCUGGUCGGAAAUGAAUUGAAAUCUAUGAAGGUUCAUCUUACAGUAGAGAAAGUGGGUCGGAGCAAGGUUUGUGGAUUAUUUUAUCAGAUCUGUAUAUAUUUCAAUUUUACUUGGUCCAUGAGUUUGGUAGUGGUUUUUUUUUUCUUUCAGAUACUUAUUUCUCUUUGUACUGUUAAUCACUUUUCGCAUAUGAGAAAGAAGAAGUAUCUCAUUGACUCCGUACCAGGGUUAUAUAAAGAUGAGACACUUAUGGUGUUAGGUAGGCUGGAGGCACAUUUGCCCGCUGAUCACAACUUUGACAUCUCGGAAUAUGAAGUCGGCAUCCAGAAGUUCUACCUCACGAUAACAGCAGUGAUUGCAGAUUUCACGUGGUACUUUAUAUCAAGUGCUUCGAGCUAAUGGAUAUACAUGGCAUCACCAUGGUAAAAAUUGAGCUUUGUGUUUUUUUUUUCUAUUCAAAUUCUAGAACAAUGACUUAUGCCUAAAAAAUGCAUGAUAAGGUGUACAAUUUCCGUAAUUUCAAGGUACCUCUGUUAUCAUUAAAUCAACCAAAUAAACAUAGUCAAUGAAGUUGCAAUUGACCCUAAUGGAGAGGAGGCUAUGGAGAUUAUCAAUUCAACAGCCAAAUGAAUAAACUACCUUUCCUCUUUGAUGAUUUGCGAGAUCUUGUUAACUUGUUCAGGAGACCAUGAUCUAUCAUGUUCCAAAUUAAUGACAGAAGUCCUACGCGUCUUAGUCAUAUUACACCUCCUUUUGCCAAGCAUUUUCUUCUCGCGUCUUUGCUGCUGUAUGAGGUGUUUCACUGGGGCGAGAGUUAGCAUCCUCCUUAGUCCUUCCGUUGCCCCUCUUGUUCUUCUGUGGUAUGGGAGUUCAGAGAAGGAUCGUCAUUGUUGUCAACACCCAGGUUAUCUUCCUCACUGGAUGAAGUGUCAUUCUCUGAGUCUGCAGGAGUGUGAUCCCGACCCAUAAUUUCCCCUUCGGCGGAGUUGGCUGUUGGAUUGAUAAUUUCCACAGCCUCCUCUCCAUUAGGGUCAACUGCAACUUCAUUGACUAUGUUUCUUUGGUUGCUUUCAUGAUAAUAGAGGUACCUUGAAAUCUCCUUACAGAAAUUGUACACCAUAUCCUGCAUUUUUGAGACAUAAGUCAUUGUUCUAGAAUUUGAAUAGAAAAAAAAUUGAAAAGCACAAGGCUCAAUCUUUACCGUGGUGAUGCCAUUUAUAUCAAUCAGCUCGAAGCCUUUGAUAUAAAGCAGCACAUGAAAUCCGCAAUCACAGCUGUUAUCUUGAGGUAGAACUUUUGGACUAUUGACUUCAUAUUCUGAGAUGUCAAAGCUGUGUUCAGCAAACAAAUGUGCCUCCAGCCUACUAACACCAUAAGUGCCUCAUCUUUAUGUAACCCUGGUACGGAGUCAAUGAGAUACUUCUUUUUCCUCGUAUACGAAACGGCAACUAACGAAAAGUGAUUAGCAGUAGCAAGAGGAAUAAGUAUCUGAAAAAACCCACUGUCAAACACAUGGACCAAGUAAAAUUGAAAUAUAUACAGAUCUGAUAAAAUAAUCCACAGACCUUGCUCCGGCCCACUUUCUCUGUUGUGAGAUCAACCUUCACAGAUUUCAAUUCUUUUCCGACCAGCAAUUUUUCCUGGAAUAAUAGACAACAAUCAUAGUGAGCAUAGCAAAUGUACAAGAACGCAAAAAAAUCCAUAAGUUAAAAAAGUACUUACAAUAGAAGCUGCCGUGAGGAUAAUUGUAUCAUCCCAAUUCUUUGACCAUAGUGAGCAUACCAAAUGUAGUAUGUCUGAGCACAUUCGGCCAUCCGGUUUGAAGCAGUCAACAAAACUUGCCUGAUCUAUCUUAUCCGGACCAAACUUCAAAACAAUUUGGUCUCGGGUUCUCUGUAGAAUAUAUACUACUAAUGAUCUAACAAGUCACGCCCCGCUGCAAAUGCGCUGUAGCAGCUCUAAUGCCAGUCAAUCAAUCAACUGGAAAGAUAAUUUGUAAAUUUGAGUCAUAAAUAUAAGAAACACUCAACACAAACACUGCUAGUAAAUCGUCUAAGAAAGCUUAUUCACACAUUGGAAGCUUUUACACACCAAAUCUAAAUUAAAUAUACACAUCGCAGUGCUCUGCAUUCUCUGCAUUCUCUCCUAUUUUAGAAAGCAAAAGCUCUUAUACAAAGUCUUAUCUGACAUGGAAUUCGACCAAAUUCCUCGUUAAAAAUAUUACGACUGCACAUUAAGUUGAAAAGAUUAAUUAGAGAUGCUUUGAACUUACAUCCAAACUCUAUCGGCUUCGGUCUCAUCGGCUGAAAAGGAUAUUUAAAAAAUAAGAACUUGUAUCAAGAAUUUGGUGCAAUCAUAGUUAUAAUGGGAUAAGAACUUGUCAUAAUUAUAAUGACAUUAAAAAAUAAGAACUUGUUUCUUAUCCCAGUCCUUUUUGCUUCCUUAUCUUCGAACAGUUCCUUGAACAUGUUAUCAUUAUAAAGGAAUAUUCUACCUGGUCCUUGCUCUCUUGCCAAAGGAUUCCCCUUAGUACAGUCCGCCAAAACCACUUGUGAACCAAUGAUUAUAAUGUUAGAUACUUUCCUAGCGAAAAUGAGGAACCUUAUUGCUUGCAAAAGCAACUUACCAAACACAGUCCCACAGCAAGUCAUAGUUUGUUUCUCCCCGCAAUUUUUCUUUAUCGCCUCAAAGACUAGAUGUGGCCAGUCAAGGCUACCCAUUUUUUCGAGAUUAUGUACAAUAGCACAUGAGAUCCUGGAUAAAAAAUGUUGCGAUUAUGGCAAUAGCAUUCAUUCUACCACCAUCUCAAGGUACAACCUGACAAGCAUGUUGUUUUAGCAAGUGGAAUGACGUCUUGUUCAUCACAAUGAUCAAAUAAAAGACAAAUGUUGGCAGGCUUGAACAAUUGUCUUGCAAUAGCAUAUGCCGGUAUGGGAUCUUCAGCACUGGGCGCUCCUUUGCAUUUGUGUUUUAUCAUUACAAACUUGAUUGCCUUGUACAUUGUGUCAUACUGUUCUAGUGAUUCUACACUCAUAGUUGGGCACUCCUUCUCAGCAAAUAUUUAUCCCAGUUGCUAAAUCCUCAACAAUUACGAUUUGUAUUCUUGGCUCCCUGGUGACAUCGACCAUCGGCUCUCCGGCGUCGUCGAUCACACUGUUCGGUUGUUUUUCCUUGGCAUAUUGGUGUUGAUACUUUUGUCGAUGGUGAUUGACUAUUUCAAUAUCUAUGUGCGUGCACACAACCUAGCAUUGUGACUUAAAUAACUACUAUAUUAUUUGGGAACUGACAUCGUUUUUGUAAGAGUUUUGAAUUUUUUUGGAGGUUAACCUGAAGCUGACACGUGUAUAACUUUGUGAUUUGUGUGCACUUUCAAUGUCCUCUAGGAAUUUUCUUGGUCCUUUUGCGUUGGUUUGAGGUGGGCUUCCUUUUAACCUAGGUGCACCUAGCGUUUUUUAGGGAACCGCUUUGACCAAUAUUUGGUUUGCCCCACCGCCUCCUCGAUUUCCUCCCCGGGCUCCCUCUCUCCCCAUUAUCUCCACCGCAUCCUUGCCCAGGGCUGCCGCCCUCCUCCCUGUCACUGGCCACGUCCGACGGCGUCGACUCAUCCUCUUCCGUUUUCACACUACCGAGGUGCUCGGCCGGACCCCUAGGCGCGCGCCCGCGGCACCCUAGCCUUAUGAGGAGGAUGAGCCUCUUCGCGCGAUGAGGCCCGUCAUUAGAGGUUCCGCCAGCUAAAUCCGACAAGGGCCAGCCACACCGCCUCCUCCUCUCCCCGCUCCGCUCCGGAUCUUCCCAUCCAUUCCGGCGAGCCCUCGCCGCGUAGCUUCCACGCGACCCUUCCUUCUCCCCGAUAUGUCCAACCUCCCGGCCGACGUUCCUGCAAAACCCCCCAAUACUACUAUCCGAUUAUUUCCUCCCCCAACCGCGCCGUCUCCCGAGCCCAACAAACCCUAGGCGCCGCCCAUGAACUUCGGUAACAGGCGCGUUCACAACCGGCUGGGUCCGGUGCCAGGCGCCGCCUCUUCCUCUUCUUCUUAUGGGAAGGUCUGCCACCAUUGGCGCGCUGGGCGAUGCAAUCGCUUCCCCUGCCCCUUCCUCCACAGCGAUCUACCCGAGGCCACCGCCAACUCCAGUCGCCCGAACCAAACGGAUGACCCCGGCGCCGGCGGGCACGUCUGGCGCACCCCCAACUCUGGAGGAGGAGGAGGCGGGCGCGGUGGCAGUGGCUCUAAUAGGUGGGGGAGAGGUCCCGGCGGCGCAGACGUGGCCGCGAGGAACAGGGUGCAGGACCGGCCCUGCAAGUACUUCCUCGCCGGAGAACACUGCAGCUACGGCGAGAGGUGCCGCUACCCGCACAAAUACUGCAUGAGCAAUAGCAUCGCGCUGCUAACCCCGCUCCAGGGCCACGAGCAGGUCGUAACAGGGAUCACACUGCCUAAUGGAUCAGAUAAGCUGUAUUCUUGGAGUAGGGAUGGAACUGUGUGCCUUUGGGAUUGCAAAACUGGGCAGGUAGCUGAGGCAUCAUUGAAUUGCAUCCUUCCAAGGACUCCGUCUUCUCUAUGACUAUUUUCAGUACCUUUAUUUUUCUAUGUGCCAGACGAUAAGUUUUGAGAGAUAGGAAAUUUGUGGCGACGGCCACCCAUCGCUCAGGCUGCUCAAGCAUGCCCUGUUUUUUAUGGCCGUGGCCCUAACAUCUGUACAAAUUCUACGCUAUGAUCAGUAUACCUCACUUUGAAAUACAAUGCGCACAUUUUUUGGUCUUAUGUUGAACUGUCAAUUUUGCAGAUACAGGUUGUGUUAUACAUAUGUUAUUUCAGAGUUUUAUUUGACAGGUUUUGAGAUCUUGCCUCAUCUUUUUGUAAGCAUGAAGGGCUAAAGUAUUUUAGAGCUUUAUGUGCUCUACCUUCUUGCAUUUCGUGUCAAUAUCACUAUUUCAAGUCAUCAUUCCUUUAUGAUCAUAAGAAAGUUCUCCAGCUCAGUUAAUCUAGCUCUCUUUGUCAACACCUACCAAUCCCCCUUUCAGGCUCUCUUUCCCUACAAUUUUCUGUGUCGACAACCAUGUUCUCCUCUUCUCCGAUUAAAGGGAUACUUUCAGCCUAGACUCGCCUACAAAUCAGGUAAAUUUUCUGGCCUCUUCACCUUUAAAAUUUACUUUCUUUUCUUUCUUACUCCAUUGGUUGUUCAGAUUUGAAUCUAAAUGGGACUUCGUGCUAUGGAUCCUUCUACCGCUUAUAAAUUUUUCCUCAUAUUACCUUUUUGAGUUGAGUGGUUAUCUUUCAGAUGGUAAGUCAUGCUAAGGAUAGCAAGAGCUUGGAUCCAAUAACUCUUAGCCUUUUUUGGUCUAUACUUACUGCUCUGGGUAUUGGACUAAUAUUUAAGAAAUCUUCUGAUAUGUUGAAUUAAUAGUUAUCCACUUUCUUCUGAAAUAAGACAAUAUUUCUUUCAAACCAUCUGCUUUGUCUUAUACUUCCUUAAUUUGGCAAGAAAGUGUAUUUUCAUCUCAAAUUCCGCAGCCAGGAAUUUUUUUAUUUCAGAUCAUCGGCUUUGUCUUAACUUUCCUUAAUGUCAGGAAAGUGAAUAUAUACUUGUUUCAGAACUUUUCACUGAUUUGACUAUUCAACCUUGGACAUUUUGUGUCACUCCAAAAGAAGAUUCCCAUAUGCCUGUACACCACUAAAUGUUUGGCAUAUAUAAUUCAAUGUACACAUUUUACAAUUUGCACUACAAUGAAAUGCGUGUUUCUUAUACGUAGAAUCGGAUAGAUGAAUUGUUAGGACAUUUGGUUGUUUGAUGCUCCCAAAAAUUGAUUUAUUCUCUUAACAUGUAGUAGCAUAGUACUCUUCAGAAAAUAUAACCGCAGAUACUCUUUUAUUCGAUCAACCAUGGAGGUUGAAAGCACAUAUUUUCAUGUGUAAGCAUGGACAUUCAGUGCAUUAUCGUUGCUAGGUUGGUCAAACUUUCAGUAUCCAACGAACAUACUUUUUCGAGUAGACUGGCAAUGGGUCCUUAGUAUGUAUGCUCACAUGAAUGUUUUGCUCUUUUCUUUUUUUUAUCUAUUAUACGUAGUGCAUACAAUAUUUAACUGUAUGUAAAAAAGGAUUUGAGUGCGUACCUUCUAAAUUUCUUUGAAAGUGGUCGCUGCUUUAAAGAGUUAUUUGGUACUUUUGGGUUCCUACCUUGAUGUCUUCCUAUUUUAUCAUCUUUGUUCAAUACUUAAGGCCUAGGUCUGUACUUUUGGUUGCAGUUAAGGUUGGAUAAUUAAAUAUGCAAUAGACAUGUUAGACAUUUCAUAUAUUGUCCAUUUCUUGUGUCCCUGCACCCCCAUCCUACAUGCUUCUGUGGUUUACAUUUUUCUUUUUCCCUUCACACUUGCUUGCUUUGUCGUGCUUUGUCGCACACAGCCACUGGAGGCUCUCGAAGAUGUGGUGUUCUAUCAAUCAAGGGCCAACCGAGUUGAGGACGUUACUUGAUAGGCUCUAAAUCCAGAGCUUUUUUCAGUCAUUUAAGCAUAAGUCUUAGAAUGACUUGAGUAUCUCGAUGCAAAAUUCAAUCUACAUUUCCCUGUUGGUUGACCUAUUCAAUAUAGUUUGAUAAAAUUAUGCAUACUAAGUAUCUCAUGUAGUCAUUUAGAAGUAUCUUAGCCAAUGCAUUCAACAUACUCCCUCCGUCCAUAAAUAGAUGCCAAAGAUUUGUUUAAAUUCGGAUGUAUCUAUACACUAAAUCAUGGCUAGAUACAUUCAAAUUUAGACAAACUUUUGGCAUCUAUACACUAAAUCAUGGCUAAAUCAUGGCUAAAUCAUGGCUAGAUAUAUUUUUUCCCAUGUAACAUGCUACCAUUUCUAAGCCAAUUGUUACCUCAGAUGUUUACUUCCUUUUUUUAAGCAUGUGCCCUUAUAAUGGUUUACUGAAUACUCUUUUCUUGAGGAUACAGGGCAAGUUGCAUGCUUCUAAAACGUGCAAGACAUCUGAAUUUUAGCAUAGGAAGUUGUCUUUUUUGUUACUUACCAAAGGAUGUAUUAUUGAUUUCUUACAAUUCAAUAUUUGUAAGUUCUAUAUUUUUUCAUCUAUAAAUAUAUGCAUCUUUAUGACCUCUAAAGUGGUUUCAAAAAACACAUUCUUACUAAGUCUGGGUUGCCUCCUUGCUUAGAAUAGAGGAGUUCAGGUCGAAGAUCAAAGAAAAUGCACAUAUCAGGUGUGCCACCGAGGAGUCAUUUUAAUCGGAACUCAACAUCGAAACCAUUCGAGCCAUCUAUGCUAGCCUAGGCAUGGAAAUCAUCCUCCUUUCCCGUGACAAAGAAGAUGUGACUUUGGGGCACAUCCCUUAUCCUGAUAGUAAGUUGACAAGCAUCCUCCAGUCUGUACUUGGAGGCAACGCGAAGACAUCAUUCAUAUGCACUGCUGCACCUAAAGAGAUUCAUAUGGAGGAAACUAGAGGAACUGUUCAGUCUACAAGUAGAACAAGAUGUGUCAGCGAUCGUACCCAAGUAUCAAAACUUCUAUGUUGUAAUAUGAGUUUGAACUUCUUAUAAGUAUGUCUUCCACAGUUAGUUUUCACCACGUUAAUUUUGAUAGCAGCAAUACGGUAAUAUACAUCUGUACUUUUGUGUAUUUAACUUGUUCUAUUGUUUUCAUUUGUUAUUAUUUCUUACAUGUGAAAUGUAUUUGGUAGAAAUUGCUAAUAUACGGCAAUGGUCUGGUUCUCAUCAAAACACUUGCAUCUUCAGCAUAAGAAUCAAUUAUUGAGUCAGUUUAUCAGCAUGGUUUAUAAGUAGUUAUAUUCUGAGAACCUAACAAUGGGUGUUGGUAUAUCAGAUUCGAACAAUGGCUGUUCAUAUGUCAGAUUCAACAUAAGAACUAAUUAUUGAGUCAGUUUAUCAGCAUGGUGUAUAAGUAGUGAUAUUCCGAGAAUCUAACAAUGGGUGUUGGUAUAUCAGAUUCUAACAGAUGCUGGUAUGUUGAAGAGGCAUAAACUGGAAAUAGAAAAACUUCGUCAAAAGCUGCAGGUGAUGCACUCAUCCAGUUCAAAGUGAGCCAAAAGAAUUGCCAUGUAUCAAUCUUGGAGCCAAGGAAUUCGGGGCUCCAAUUGAAAGAAUUUUUGGGGCUGCGGCCUCUAAAUAGGUAUUAAUAUGUCCUGAACUAAUAGUAUUUCUACUCAGAUUUUUUCAGUCAUGGGUAAAUACUGUUUACAUUUGAAUGCAGUAAAAGAGUUAUAAAUUUAGCAUCCUGCCUGAACUAAUAAAAAUGCUGCAAAAUUUGUGUUAUUUGCUAAAGAGGGUGCAAAAAAAGGAGGCCUAGCAAAUCACCAGGUCUAAGCUACAAGAUUACAGAAGAAGAACCAAGGAAGAAGAGGAUCACGCUACGAUCAGCCUGAGCCAAUUGGGUGAAAACCAAGAAGGCCACCGCGCCGAAGAAUGCCAUCUUCAUUGUUGGCGUGCAUCCGACAAAUGAGACAUCAGUCCUUCCAGAUCCCGACACCUCAGUCAAGGAAGGAUUUCACCGGCUUUUUAUCCAAUGAUGAAGACUACUAGGAACACUGGGGCUGACGAUUAUCGGGGCACAAGAGAAGUAUUAGGACAACUGUCCUAGCGUGUUAACCUGCUUUACACUUCUAUGCUUUAGUAAUAGAUGUCUGUUCUGUUCCAGGUUUGAGUAAAUCCAUGGCUUGCAGUAAACUGAUGUCUCCCUAUACUAUUGUGGUGAACCAAUCAGAUCUGAAUAUGUAUUUGUACUGCUACUUAUGCAUCUGUCUAUUUGGUGUCUGUGUUCUCUUUGAUAAA
Molecule: non-coding RNA, 11084 nt
Organism: Lolium perenne
Lineage: Eukaryota; Viridiplantae; Streptophyta; Magnoliopsida; Poales; Poaceae
Source: RefSeq, a predicted model, not a curated record